AUGGCCACCUUUGCCCUCGACCCCACGCCUUUCGUCCCGCCGGGUUUCGAGAUCAUCGACAGUGGUCUGCGGCGUCAUCCACGCACCUUCUACUCUCCAGCAAUGGCUCCUGAUCGUCAGCAUGAAGAAUACGCCAUUGCCAUCGUCGAGCCUGCUCCCCUGCCUGAAGAAGUUCCCAUCUUCAGAAAUAUGGAGGCUCCACAUGAUGAUCUGCAUGAGCAGCAAGAGCUUGUGGAUGAAAAUCAUGUUGAGGCGAACCAGUCGCAGGAAUCUAUCAUUCUGCAAGUUUCGGAUGAUUCUGUUAAUGCUCAACCAGUUGAUGAUAUGGCGAUCUUGCAGCAACCAGCGGCCCCUAUGCAGCCUCCUCUUCAUAUUGGGCAAGUUCUCACUGUAUUUUGCCGUGUUCUGCCACCUGUUAUGCAAUGGCAACGCACUUUCCAGAAGUUCUUGCCGGCUAUUUUCACUGCUGAAAUCCCACAGUUUGUGUUCAAGACUGCAUUUGGGUCCCUGCUGCUGUGUAAGUGCUCAUGGGAUAUUUGUUACAAUGGAGCAGAUGUCAGCUUCUCUCUGCAGCCUCCGCCGGAAUCCUCUUACAGCCUUCCACGCCGGACUUCUCCAGUUAGGAGACCAGUUGCAAGGGCUCUUUGCUUUGAUGAUCUCUCUGAUCCUGUCACCGAGUCCUUUGAGUUCUCUGCUGUCCCUGAGGUGUCCACCAAGCGUGGCCGGAAACCAAGAUCUGCUAAAAUCUUGGUAGAUACAGAGGUGCACCGUAGUGCAUGUCUCAGUGCGCUACAUGAUGGCUAUCACAGAUCCCCAAGCAGAGGCUCCCAGCAGAUCAAGACCCAAUGUUCUUUCAAGAGGCGGCGAACCAGCUCUUCACAGUCGGAGGGGAACCCGACAGUGCCUCCACCAACGCAUAUUACUGAUCUUCAGCGUAUCGGGGCACGUCUGCGUAUUGCUCCUGAGAAGAUCUCCAAGGAUAAGCUUGAGGCUGAUCCUUCUACCUCCUCCAGCAACAAGAGUUCUGAUGAUUAGAGAACCCUGACACCAUCAAAGACCAUGAUUUCUGUAGCAAAGAGCUCGACCGUCCUCUCUACUGUGUUCUCCACGAUACCAAGCCUCUUAGAUCUUGAGGACCUCCUGGAUGUUGUGCAGCAGGAAGAAUUGGCCUGGGCAGAUGGGGAAGAACUGCUUCCAGCACCUAGCAACAGUAGUCUUUCUUCAGACAUGUCCUUCUCUGAAGGAGAUAACACAAAUAUGCUUUUACCUCCUGUUGCAGUAGAGGUUUUGAUUCCUAGGGCUGCAAUACCUGAUAUUUUACCUCCUCCUGCUAUUGUGCCUGCCACUGGCCUGCAGAACAUCAUCCAGGCCUAUCAGUCAGAUGAUGAUGAGCCUCCUUUGUUCCAUGAGCAGAUCCAGGAUGCUGCUAUGGUUGAUGUUGACCUGCAUGAUCAAAUUGUUGCAGACCAACUGCAACAUGUUGCACCCUCUAUUCAAGGGACAGAUGCCAAUGCUGAUGUAUCUGUAGAUCAAGAUGUGGAUCCCCUUCCUCCUGCUUUACCUUUAGAUGCUGUGGCAACUGCUGAGCAAUUUCAAUCCUCCCUUGCUGGUGGAUCUUCCAGUGAAGUCUUGGUUUGCAGUCCUGAUCAUAUAAAUACCUCUAGAGGAAGCUUACAGCGAGUUGAGAACUUGGAGGAUCUUCAAUCAGGGCUCCAAGGUGAUAAGGACAAGGGCAAAGAAAAUAUUGGAGUGACUGCCAAUAUGCAGGAUGUGGAGUCCCAGGCCCUUCUGCAUCCUUUUGGCCAAGAUAACCUCAGGAAGAGAAGGAGUGGAAAAACUCCACUGGUUGAAACAAAGGUUGCUGAGAGGGAGCUGGAGGACAAGCUGGCUAAGAAGCCCAAGAGAAGACAAGAAGAUGUUUUGGACAAGAGAGGCGUGAACUGUGGAGUCGUCGAAUGGGUUGACCGCCCAUGGCCUAUCAUUAUGCAGAGGUGCCUACUCAAGCUCUGGGGGAUGUUAGAUGAGAGCAAUGAUAAUAGGCAAGCAAAGGAUGAAGAGAUAAGCAGGCUUAAAAUGGAUAUUGAACAAGUGAACCUUAAGCUCGAGAAUCUUGUUGCAGCUGUGGAAAGAACUAAUGUAACUACCAUGAAGAUCGACAGGCAGAAGAAGCAGAUGGGUAUCGUUGAUAAAGAUGUCAAGCUCAUUCAGAGGUCUCUCACAAGUGCCAUUCAUAAUCUUAAGGAUGACAAGGGUGAGAUUAAGCUGGACAGGGAUUUUCUGAAGGAGGGGGUGCAUAAGCUGAAGGAGAAUAGGAGGAAGAUGCAAAGCGUCAUCCGUGAUCUUUUGGGGCAAGGGUUUGCGGACACUGAUGACCUCCUGAUGAUCAAGGCAAUCCUCGAAGAAUGA
Molecule: ribosomal RNA, 2406 nt
Filed under: Triticum aestivum (bread wheat)
Lineage: Eukaryota; Viridiplantae; Streptophyta; Magnoliopsida; Poales; Poaceae
Description: partial small subunit ribosomal RNA
Source: RNAcentral